This is an RNA transcript of Thrips palmi, 11566 nucleotides long. It is a transcript of the gene named F-actin-monooxygenase Mical, with no coding region annotated. Lineage: Eukaryota; Metazoa; Arthropoda; Insecta; Thysanoptera; Thripidae. The record is from RefSeq and is a predicted model, not a curated record. The transcript has 29 exons.
ACUCGUUUCUCGUGAAGGUGUCAGUUUGUGUUGUGAUUGUGGUGAUGUGUGUAUGUAUGGAUGGAUGAGUGUUGUCAGUGGACCUAAGUGAAACGUUCUCUAAUCUGUGCGAAACCCUCCUUUUGGAUAGUUUGGAUACCUAACUCUAACCUUAUCGGCCGUGCGCUGGGCCGCUGGGCCGCUGGCGUGCUAGGAUGGGCCGGACGGAGCAGACAGAUGACUCGCCCCAGGACACCCAGCUCACCAUGCAGUGAAGGGCGCGCGCCGUGAACGCGGUGAACGCUGUCAACAUGGAGCACCGCAAGCAGCCCGUGUCCCCCGAGGUGGCCCUGGCCUCGGAUGUGUUCGACAAGCUCUGCUCGGCCAACACCCUCAAGACCAUCCUCGGCUUCCACCGCCACCUCUGCGAACUGCUGCACCUCAAGCCCGGCCCGUUCCCCCAGUUCUACCUCAAGCUCAAGUCAAAACUACGCUCAUGGAAAGCCCAGCCCCUCUGGAACAAGUUUGAUAAACGCGCCAGUCAUAAGUGUUACAAUCGGGGAAAAGCAUGUCCAAAUACAAGGGUACUUAUUAUAGGCGCAGGACCGUGUGGCCUGCGAGCGGCUAUAGAAGCCCAGCUUUUAGGAUGCAAAGUUGUAGUAAUUGAGAAACGAGAUAGGAUAUCUAGGAACAAUGUGCUGCACUUGUGGCCCUUUGUCAUUCAGGACCUUCGGGCGUUAGGAGCCAAAAAGUUUUUUGGAAAAUUUUGUGCUGGUGCCAUUGACCAUAUUAGCAUUCGUCAACUACAAUGUAUAUUGCUGAAGGUAGCUCUGAUUUUAGGUGUCGAAUUUCAUGAAGGUGUUGGCUUUGAGGCUAUUGUUCCUCCCCCUGAGGAUCAAACAGAAAGAAUUGGAUGGAGGUGUGUAACUAGUCCUCCAGACCAUCCAGUCUCACAGUAUGAAUUUGAUGUACUCAUUGGGGCUGAUGGCAAACGCAACACUUUAGAAGGCUUUAGAAGGAAGGAAUUUCGAGGAAAGCUAGCUAUAGCUAUCACUGCUAACUUUAUAAAUCGACGGUCUGAAGCAGAAGCUCGGGUUGAAGAAAUAUCUGGAGUAGCAUUCAUAUUUAAUCAGAAAUUUUUCAAAGAUUUAUAUGCUGCUACUGGUAUUGAUUUGGAGAACAUAGUGUACUAUAAAGAUGAAACACAUUAUUUUGUAAUGACUGCCAAAAAGCAUAGUCUUCUGAACAAAAAUGUGAUUUUGCAGGACUAUCCUGACACUGCCAAACUGCUUGACCCAGAAAAUGUAGACAAAGAAGCUUUGAUGGAGUAUGCCAGGGAGGCAGCAGACUUUUCUACUAAUUAUAAGCUACCCCACACUGAGUUUGCUGUCAAUCAUUAUGGCCAGCCAGAUGUAGCCAUGUUUGACUUCACCUCAAUGUAUGCAGCAGAAAAUGCCAGCCGUGUGGUUGAAAGGCGAGGCCACAAACUGCUGACCCUCCUUGUUGGUGACAGUCUACUUGAGCCAUUUUGGCCCACUGGAUCAGGCUGUGCUCGAGGUUUCUUGAGUGUUUUGGAUGGGUGUUGGGCCAUCAAAGCAUGGGGUAGUGGCCAGUAUUCAGCUUUAGAGGUUCUGGCUGAAAGAGAAUCCAUUUACAGAUUACUUGGUCAAACCACACCAGAGAACCUCAACAGGGACCUCAAUGCCUACACACUGGAGCCUCAGACUCGAUAUCCAAAUUUCAAUAGCAGAGCUGUGUUGCCCAUCCAAGUGAGGGGUCUUUUUGACACAGACGAUCCUUCAGGACUAGAGGCCAUGCUUCUGAACCCGAGUGCAGCAAGUGCUCUUGAGAUGCCCAAGAAGAGACGCCGGAAAGAUUCUCAAGUCCACCCAGAUACAUUGCUGCAUUGGCUGAAGAAGCAGGUGGCUUUGUAUGACAAUAUCCAUAUUUCGGAUAUGACAUCUUCAUUCAAGAACGGCUUAGCCUUGUGUGCUAUCAUUCAUAGAUAUCGACCUGACUUAAUUGAUUUCCAUUCACUUAAGCCUGAUGAUAUUGUAGAGAACAAUCAACUAGCGUUUGACACUCUUGAACGUGAGCUUGGUAUUCCACCAGUGAUGACAGCUCAAGAGAUGGAGGAAUGCGAAGUACCUGAUAAACUAGCAAUGUUGUCAUAUCUCUCUCAGAUUUAUGAUACAUUCAGAGGUGAAAUCCCCCACAUAAAGCAUCCGAAGCUGGAUGAUGAAGAUAUUGUCAAGGAUAAAAAAGAGAAAACGUCCGAAGCUCUGCUUGCAACUCGCAUGAGAGAAUUGAGUAAACUUACACCCCAACAGAAAGUCAGUUUGCUUGGCCGAAUCACCAACCAUCGGCCGUCUUCAGGCCGCAAAAAGUAUGCUUCAGAUCGAGAGCUUGGCAGUGACAGAGGUGAUCGUGAUGGUACAGCAUCUUCAAUCAUUAGCAAUCCUGAAAGAAGGCAUGCCAAUGAUGUAUCAAGAAGGAAUAGAAAACGACGUAGUGGUGCAUCUGAUCGCAGUGCCUUGACUUUGGAAGAACAAAUAGCUCUGAGGUGUCCUCCCCCUGAUUUGAAGGGUCUUAGCUUGGAGGAGCAGAUGUCUCGGCUUCAGGAGCGUAUAAAGCGCCUUGAAGAGAUCAAGCAGAAUCGCAUUGAGCGACAGCAGCGCAGCAAGUACAUGCAAAUGCUUACAAGACAACAGUUUUAUAAAAGUAUUCAGAUGCUCCAGGCAAAUGCGCCACGCUCGGAUGAUGAUGAUACACCAUUCGAUGAUUACUCUCUCUUCAUGUACCGUAUGACGGCUCCUGAUUUUCAGGAUAGAGUAAAGAGUUUGGAGCAGAAACUGUUGUACCCUGAUCGAGAUCGCUUGCAAGAAGAAAUGAAAAGGGGAACUGUUGACCCUGAAUUUUCUGGUAGAAUCAAACACAUUGAGGAUAAACUACGUCGAGUACCAGCUACAGAGAAAAAGCCAAGAGACCUAAACAGAGCCAUUGGAAAAAUUGAAAAGACUGAUUGGAAUGUUAAAGAAAUUGAAAAGAAGAUUGCUGAAAACAAAACAACAGGCCGUAGCCCUCGCCAACGUGCUGAGAAAGUUCCCAAGUGGAGCCGUCAGCAAUUUGAUGAUAAGUUUUCUGCAAUGGAAAGAAAGCUCAGGGUAAAGGGAUUUGAUGAGGAAACUGCAAGCAAGUAUGCUGAAAUAGACAUGAGUUUGAAGCAGCUUGAAAAGAAAAUCAAAGAGGGUGGGUCUCUCGAGGCUGGAAAAGUGUCAGCUAUGGCUGCUCAGUUAGCUCAUAAAAAUCAGCAAGAAGCUGAAAAAACGAAUAUUCAACGAUCGAACUCGAGACCUGCAUUGGUGCUUCCUGCCCAAGGAGGAUCUGAAAUGUGUCAUUUCUGUAAUAAACGGGUAUAUUUAAUGGAACGUCUAAGUGCUGAGGGAAGAUUUUUCCACAGAGGUUGCUUCAGAUGUGAAUACUGUAGCACAACACUUCGACUUGGUAGCUAUGCAUUUGAUCGUGAUGGUAAAUUUGGAAGUAGGUUUUUCUGUACCCAUCAUUUUGGUAUGCAUGGUACACAAAAGAUGAAGACAGCUCGUAAAAGUGAGGAGCUUAGGAAUAUACUUGGUAAAGAAAACAUACCGCGUCAGCUCACAAUUGCUAAGCCACCAGACAAGAGCAAAUAUGCUGCUUCAAGUGUUGAUACUGCUGACAGUCAAGACCAGAAGACUCCCAGCACUCCUCAGCCCCAGCCUUUGGACAUUGAUUUGGACUUGGACCGUGGACAGACUCCAGAGCGUAUCACAUUCUCCAAUUUAGCUGGUGCUGCAGGUUCCUCUGACCAGGAGGACCACCCCAGUGAAAUGGACGAAGAUGAAUGGACUGAUCGCAACUUUGGAGCAUCUGCAGCCGAAUGUGAUUCAAGUGACGAUUUGUCUGAUCUCAGUGAUGAGGAUGAUGAUGGUGCAGAGGCCUUUGCAGAAGCAAUAGAUGUUCCCUUAACUGCUGAUGAGACCCUUCGGCUAGCAGAGAAUUGGACGAGGCGGUAUAGCACCGACGGUGCUCGGCAAAACGGAGCCGGUGACAAGGACCGCAGCGCCCUAGAACCCAAUGCUGAUGAAGAUGAUGAGCCUGAAAGUGGAAGUUAUGAGUAUGAGGAUGAAAGUGAUGACUUCAGUUACCAGGAGUAUGACAGUGAAGAUGAUGACAGUGACACAGCCACUGAAGGUGAAGAAGAAAUUCGUCAGCGUGAACUACGGAAACAAGAAGUGCGCCUGGAAGUGCCCGACUGCCUGCCUGGAAGGAAUGAUACUGACACUGGCUCAGAUACUGAGGUUGCGUCAGAGGAGACCUCUUCAGAGUCUGAAAGUGUGGAAAAUUCAGCUACUGAGAUUGAAACUGAUUCUGAGUUUGAGCAUGAUGGGACUACACCCACAAGACAUGAGAUCCCUGAUAUCAUUAUUAGUGAUCAUCUUACACAGGAUCUUGAAGAGCCCAAAAAAGUUCAGAUACGCAGUGGGAAUGUAGUUAAUGGUAAUAUAACAAAAGAAUCAGCGGGUAUCAAGUUGCAGUUUUCCCCUCUCCAGAACAAAGUGGAGUCGAACAAUAACGCGGUCGUAAAUGAGGUGGUCAAUCAGCCUACUCCAGUGCGGCCGUCGCCACUCAUAAACCCCCGCCGUGGAGACUACCUCUUGAAUCGAACCCAAUCCACGGGGGGCAUUGCCUCAAAGCUUUCCCUUGAACUCAAGAAGAGGUACCUCCUAGGAGGGGAUAGUGCUGGAUCAGUCAAAAAAUCGGGCUCAGCCACAACAUUGGAUUCAAGAUUCAAAAGUUUUGUUGAUCAAAUCUCAGAACAUCAGAAACUAUUGAACCCAGCUCCAGAACCCAGUCCAACAAUGCAGGCCUUUCUUCAGAGCUCAACUAAACUUCAUACUUCUCCCAAGCCUUCUUUACCAUCAUCUGCAACAUCGAGUAUCACUGCCUCAACAGUUGCCACCUAUGGCAAAAAGGAGUUGCCUCCAGUCCCUGGGGUAUUCCCCCAUGUUUGUCGUCAAUCUUCUUUAGAGAAGUCAUUAUCAUUAAAGUUAGACAAGAGUAUUCCAGAUGUAGCGGCUGUCUCACUACCUGGACAUAAAGAACUGCCCUCUGACAAUGUGUUUGAACAUGUUUGUGGCAAAGGAACUUCACAGCCCCUCCGAGUGGAAAAUUGUCGGACUUCAAUACCCAAAGACGAGCCAGAGGAGCCACUCGACAGUCUUCAACCAGACUCUCUAAUUAUUCAGGGUUCUGAUGAAGAGAAGAAUAAUAUACAUGAAGCUUCAGACAAGCAAACAGACAGCAGGCCGAGAAGUCCAGCUCAUGAAACCUCCAUAAUUGUCCCAUCUAUCGCUUGGCAGGAUGUUAAGGGACAAAAAGGGGAUAUGGAUAGUGACUCCCUUUCGUCAGAUGUCAGUCUUGUGGAUGAAGUUGAGGAAGAGGAAGAAAGAAAUGACAAGGCGAAGCAAGAAUCUCAGCAACUACCUCCUCGGGUCGAAGUCCAUAAUUCGUGUGGUGAAUUGCUCCAGGAUGUCUCUCAACGUCAAGUGACUGUCCACCCAGUGAAGCCUGCACUGGACCUGCCCCUCAGCUCCAUCAGCUUAUCAUCUUUAGGCAAACACAUUGGGCCGGGGAGCGGUCGCAGCAGUCCUGUUUCUCCAGUUUCUAUCCAAACGGACAUUGGCCAAGCUCCACUUACCGAAACUGAGCUCUCAGACUGGGCUCACGAUGCAAAUCCAGGUGUAUCUGAAGACCUAGAUGAUGUGGAGUUUAACAUUAAUCCUGAGUUUGUGACAUUGCGUAGAAACAAGAAACACAAAAAUUCAAAGAAGCCUGUUCGUGCUGAAAAUGUUCGUCCGGCAAAGAUUGCCACCGGUGAGGACCUUGAAGAUUUUGAAAGUGACAAUGCUCGCAGUCCUGCCCAUGCCCCUGCUCCAGUACCUCGCUUGCAUGCUCUUGCUUCAGAAGAAAAUCUUGAAUUCAUGGACACUGGAGAAGAAGGAAGUAGCACAGAUGAUCAGAAUAAUCCUAUCAAGGAAAACCUUAGGUAUAAGGGCUAUGCACAGUUUGUGAAUUCUGAUGAAACGUCGCCAUGUGCCAUCAAUAAAGAGCUUUUGCGCUUGCCUGAUGGAAAUGGCUAUGUGCAAUUAAAGGACAAUGAGGAAGAUGAAGAUGCAGCCACUCCGGUUGUUGAUAGCAAUGCCACCAUUCCUCCCAUCGCAAGCAUGUCAUCUCCUGAAAAUACCACCAGCUCAAGUUCAGAUUCUAAAAGUAUUUUGGACCAAAACAAGGGCACAUCCUCUACAGUUGAAUUAUUUGAUGAAGACAAUUCCUACCAUGUUGAGCCCUCUACAGAAGAUGCCACAACUACCACCAGCGACAUGGUAACUAUUGUCGAUACCCCGCUUGAUCCUCCUCCUCCUGCUCUUGUUAAAGGGGCUGACGAAGGAGAUCAGAAAGCGUAUGCUGAGUGUGUGAAGCGGCUUCAGGGUCGAGUUUCUCCCUUCAGCAAUGCCAAGGAUUCUAUUGAUAUUAGGAAGUCAAGGCGGUCCAACAAAUCAUCUCCCGAGUUGGUGUCCCCAAUAGAGGAGAAGAGUGCUGCAGAGUUGCAAUUGGAUAUGACACCGACUCCUCAAGAACCUAAUAAUUCUCCAACUAACAAUGCAGGAAGUGGGUCACUGAAGUCUCCUACUACAUCAAGAAAAUUACAGCAACUUUCCCAAGAGCGCUCUAAACAGAAAAGUUUGAUUCAUGAUAUGGUAAUGGAUAAGCUUCUGGCCCAGAAAAAAUCUCCUCAAGAACGAAAGGCACGCAAGGGGUUAAGGAACUCCUUGAGUCCCCUGAGUGGAUCCAGUUCUAUUGGAUGUAUUCCUAACCUCGGAAAAUUAGAAACUGAAAGUAGUAAAGCGGUAGCACCUCCUGCAUUAUCAAAUACAGCAAAUACAUAUGCUGAUGCCAAAAAUGAAGACCCAAGCAGAUGCCACAGUGAUAAUGACAUUCUUGACAAGGUUGAUGAAAAAGAAAAGUUCUAUACUCCCAUGUUGUCUGUGAAGAAGCGAACCUUGUCAACUCCUGAUGAUAGAGAAGAGUAUUUGACACCACUAACUUCCAUGAAGAAGAGAGCAAUGUCAGAAACAAGAGCCCGUCCUUUCUCAGUACAUGGGGUGGAUCAACUGCAUGAAGUUGCUGAAAAGACCUCUGCUGCUUUACCUGAUACCCCUCUUACUAACCCAGAGGCCUUUUCCUUGCCUGAUAUCCGCAAAGCGUUAUUUAGUUCUCCUGAUGAUGUUUUCAAAACUCCUGUUGCUCCACCUCGAGCGAAGCAUGAGGAAGCAAAACGAACUGCUGAUAGAGAGCGUGCCCGUAGAGAGGCAAGAGCUAGAGCAAGACUAAAAUCUGAUGAAGAACUUGGUCUGAGUCCUGAAGACUACAUCAAAGCCCUGAAGGAAAAAGCAAGCCGAAGACUGGAUUCCAGUGUAGAAAGGGUGCAAGGAACUCCAGUACUUGAUGGCAGUGCAGAUGCUGGUUCUUCAAAGCUAAAGGUGAGUGGUGGAGAUGGGGUUACCUUACGACCAAGACCUAAGUCUAAAGACUCAGAAAGACGGAAAAGCAUAAUUCAAGCUGUUUCCGACUUCUUUCACAAAAAGUCAAGUUCAAGCGGUAGCCCCUCCAGCCCGUCACCCCCAAGCACAAGUCAGAACACUCCUGACAGGGACCGGGAGCGAGAUCGGGAACACAUUAAAUUCCCGCGGUUCCGUCUUGCUCACAAGUCCAAGGAGAAAGAGAAGGACAAAAUCAAGCUGGACCGUGUUGGAGCUAAUGACUAUUCUUUUGAUUUUGAACAGCAGGUACAGGAGUGUUCAGCUUCCGGAAAAGAUUCGUCUCUAGGAAGUGGAGGAUUCAUGACAGCUGCAGCUGCUUCCUCAGCAAAUACUGCAAUGGCGCCUGUCCUUGGUCCACCUCCAGUGCCACCUCCACCAUCCAGUUAUCUACCAAGAGCCUCAGGCACCAAGUGGCAUGUUGAUGCUUGUGUAGAUGACAGCCAAUCUGAGUUAGAAGAUUUGGAUGACUCCCGAGCAACUGGCAUGUCAACACCAACCCAUGGUUCACUGUCACUUGAUGGAUCUUCUUCAAAGAAGCAAACUCGCCUUAGCAGACGUGUGUCUCGCCAGGCACAACUCAAAAGGCUUCGAAUGGCUCAGGAGAUACAGCGUCAGCUGGAAGAACUGGAGGUGAAGCAGAAAGAAUUGGAACAACAAGGAGUUAGUGUUGAGAAAGCUCUACGAGGAGAAGGCAAUGAAAGCGGGCGUGAAGAGGUGGACUUGCUUCAUGAAUGGUUUACUUUGAUGCGUGAGAGGUCGGAACUACGACGUUAUGAAAGAGAACUGAUAGUUAGAGCCCAAGAGUUAGAGCUGGAAGACAGGCAUGCUCGUCUUCAAUUGGAAUUGAGGGAUCGUCUCUCUAAAGAUGAUGCAAGUAAGACAGGCGAUGAUGUGGCCACUGAAGGCAGAAUUCUAAGUGAGAUGCUCGAAAUUGUGCAGAAACGGGAUUCCCUCAUUGCACGACUAGAAGCUGAUCGACAAAGGUGCGGAUGGCUGGCCAAUAUGCCACAAGUGCGCAGGCACAGGCCACAGAAAACCCAACGCUUCCUUGUCCUACUGCUGUGGCUAGCACAGCUUGCAGUAGCUUGGGCACUUUCCUAUGUUGUAGUUGGCCUUCUCCUUCCAGACCCAGAAUCCUAGCAUGUGCUUCUAUGACUCCUUUUUAUCCCCUGUUGGUGUUGGUGUUGCAUGGAAUGUUUACACCUUCAUAAAAUGUCCUAUUGUAAAAGAAUUAUUAAUUUUAGCUACUGCAUUGUCAUUACUCAGUAUCUUCUUGCUGGACAACUAGUCAUUUUUUCCCAAACUGUAUUGGAGUUCCUAUUGGUCUCUUCUAACUUUUCCAGUAUUGUCUCAUAAUUGCUUAUUCUUUGUUAUUUUUAUUUUUUCCCUUUCUGUUGGUUUUGGUGAUGCAUGAGUUCUUUGCAUUCUUUUGAUUUAUUGCCUUGUUCUUUUGUUGUUUUUUUUUUUUUUUGGUUGAACAAUUAGUUUUUUCUCUGUGCAUGGCUAGUCACUGUUCUGAACUGUAUUGUAAUUCUUAUUCGUAGUCUCUUCGGAUUUUUUGUAGUCUUAUAAUUUUCUCAGAAAGAACGUAUUACAAACAGACUUUGUUCUGCAUGUGCUUUGUUACUUUUAUUAUUUCUUUCUGCUGUGAUGGCUUCCCCCACUUGUGAUUUAGAAAAUUGCAUUAUUAGUUGCAUGCUGUUACUAUAAGUUAACAAUAUUCUGCUCCUUAGCCCUUCAAUUAUUUGAGGUGAACAAAAAUGACAAAACUGCAAAUUACAAAACUGCUUGAUAUAUAUUGGGUCCUUAAUUGGAAGCCACUCGGAGAGUGCAAUGUAAAACUUAUGGUGAACUGCAUUUGAAUAUUUUGGGUCCUAGUUUUCACACUGUGUGUUGUGCUAACAUCCCAUUCCAUUCCAAAUAGUCAACUGCAACUAGGUUAGUGAAAUGGGCAAAACAGCCACAUUUAUGGAUUGCAUGGAAUGUGCACCAUGCUCCCUCCCUCCUUGUAUCCAGUCCCACUGUCUUGUCAAGUCAAAAUCAACACCCCCUUGUCCUUUUCUCAGCUGAACCUUGCUCAGCGACAAGAAAAGGUACCAAGAGGAGGAAAAAGACCUUGAAGCUCAAAUGUUAGCCAAAGGAUUACGAUUAACACCUUUAAGGAAGGAGUCUCAUGUCUAGAGCCGAUGUUGCACAUCUAUUGGCAAAGUAUUUACUUUGUUUCUGGCACUUUUUCUCCUCUAUUGGCUAUGACUAGCAUUUACUGUUCUUCAAUGCUUUGUUUAAUACAUGUUAUCAAAAUAUGUGAUCAUUGACAGUGCUAUAAUUAGUUGUCCUGUUUUUUGUUUUAAAAAAAAACACUGUCAUUUUAUUUUUAUCUUAUGUAUUCUUUUUUUGAUUUGUCAUAUCUCGCAUAGCUUUCCUUUGAAUUCUUAUAAAAGUGUUUAAUAUAGUAGCUUGUUACAUGAGGUCUGACUGGAUGAAAUAGAUAUUUUCAAUUAUUUUCAAAUGAAUUUCGAAUAUUUGCAAUUGUAUUCGUCAGAUAGUUCAUUUCGUGUUGCGUCGUGCAAUUUUCUUUUGUCAGUUUUACUUAUUCUCGAUGAACUGUAUUUUAUGUGUUCAAAGGGCUGCAUAGUGUUUAUGCAUGUACUUUCACGCUCAAAGAGAGCUCAGUUAUAUGAAGAUAGUACUUAUUCUAUGUGAGACUUCUGUCAAACAAAUUUUACUAAGGUGUGAUAUGGUGAUUGCUUUUAUUUUAUAAGUAACGUAUGCCUCUUUUUCUAUUCCUAUCAUAUGUUUUGAUUUUGACUUGCCCUUCUGUGAGAAGUGACUAAUCAUGAAAUGUUAAUUUUACUCGGGGCAGACAGUGUCAUUUGUAAAUACAUCAGCAACCUGUGAUCUGUUUUGCCUGAUUGUGCACACCCAGGAAAUUUGUAUUUGACAUGUGUAUAUUUUGAAUUGUCCAUGUACAGAAAUAUUUUAGGUCAUAAAUGUCAUUUUAAGUACUUUUUGUGAUUUACCUCUAGUUAGUUGAAGAAGCUUUUUACAGGUGAUUGUGAAACUUACAAGAUCUUAGACAGUUUUCAAUUUUUAGUGUAGGACUAGUGAUUGCCAUGUGAAAACACUUACCAGAAAUAGGGGGUCCAAUGUUAUGAUGAAGCAUCAUGCAUGAUUUCAGCAUUAUGUCUGGUUACAUGAUUUAACUGUGUCUGUUCACAUCACCAGACUGGAAGCAAGGCAAUUUAUUUUUCCAUCACCUUCUGUUCAGUCAGUUAUGAGAAGGCUAUGCACAUGUAAAUGUGCAAGAUGAUAUUUGUUGCCAAUAUAUACCAAGAUAUUUAUUUAUGUAGAAUUUUCUGACUUUUGUAUGGUUUGUUGGGGAGCAUGCCCCAUAGUUUUACUAAAUAGUCAAUGUACUGAAUUCGAGAAAAGAAAAAAUUAGGGGAAUCUGCGGUGCUAUUAUGCGCCUGUUGGAAGAGACUAUUUUUACUGCAAGUCCAAAGAACAAAGUUUGAUUUUGUAUUUUGAAAUACUUGUUGGGAAUUAUUUUUUGGUUUAACAUUAAGGGUAAUAGGAUGUAAGAAUUUUGUAUUUGAUUGAUAACAAUCAUGCAAAUUGCUAAAUAAUGUGAUAACACAUGCUUGUUGGAAUAUUUUAUAAUUUGUGGUAAAGCACUUGCCACAUGCAAUCCUAAUGUAUCAUUUGUCACUUUGGUAGACCGGAUGAGUUUCCUUUCAUUGCAUUGCAUUACAAUUGCCAUGUAAUUUUAAUUACAUUAGGAACUGUGCAUGUUUCCCAGUUCUUCUUCGCUGUUUGACUCUGAAGCUUAAGCUAUUAGAUCUAUAUUAGUUACAGGUUGCUCAAUGAACUCCCAACAAGAUUGCCCUCAAAGAAAUAUUCCUUUUCUGUAUAAGUGAUUGCAAUAAAGAAAAUUACUUGAAACAAAA